This 406-nucleotide ribosomal RNA is filed under the name uncultured bacterium. Its description in RNAcentral is "partial 16S ribosomal RNA". It matches the Rfam family "Bacterial small subunit ribosomal RNA", at positions 29 to 526 of the family's 1533-position model. The record is from RNAcentral.
AUUGAACGCUGGCGGCAGGCCUAACACAUGCAAGUCGAGCGAGCGGCGGGCGGGGGAGUAAUGUCUGGGAAACUGCCUGAUGGAGGGGGAUAACUACUGGAAACGGUGGCUAAUACCGCAUACCAUCAGAUGUGAGCCGGUGGGAUUAGCUAGUAGGUGGGGUAACGGCUCACCUAGGCGAGGAUCCCUAGCUGGUCUGAGAGGAUGACCAGCCACACUGGAACUGAGACACGGCCCAGACUCCUACGGGAGGCAGCAGUGGGGAAUAUUGCACAAUGGGCGCAAGCCUGAUGCAGCCAUGCCGCGUGUGUGAAGAAGGCCUUCGGGUUGUAAAGCACUUUCAGCGGGGAGGCGUUACCCGCAGAAGAAGCACCGGCUAACUCCGUGCCAGCAGCCGCGGUAAUAC